GCUAAUACCGAAUGUGGCCCCCGAUCGGAUGAUCGGUGGCUAAAGGUGGCCUCUUCUAUGCUGCCGGGUUGGGAUCGGCCCGCGUCCCAUUAGCUAGUUGGUGAGGUAACGGCCCACCAAGGCAACGAUGGGUAGCCGGCCUGAGAGGGUGUCCGGCCACACUGGCACUGAGACAAGGGCCAGUCCCCUAUGGGAGGCGCAGGCGGGAAUAGUUCCCAAUGGACGAAAGUCUGAGGACGCGACGCAGCGUGAGCGAAGAAGGCCUUCGGGUUUGUAAAGCUCUGUCAGGAGGGAAGAAGGCGCUGGGUGUUAAUAGACCCAAGCGUUGACGGUACUUCCAGAGGAAGCCCCGGCUAAAUACCGGGCCAGCAGCCGCGGAAAUACGUAUGGGGCAAGCGUUGUCCGGGAUUAACUGGGCGUCACAGGGCACGCAGGCAGUUCGUAUAGUCGAAGGUGAAAUCCUUGGGUCAACUCAGGAACUGCCCUUUCGAUCUGGCCGAACUAGAGUGGCGUAGCGCGAAACCGGAACUCCUGUGUAACGGUGGAUGUCUAGAUAUCAAGGAGGAACACCGGUGCCGAAAGGCCGCUUUCUGGACGCAACACUGACGGCUCAGGUGCGAAAAGCGUGGUUAGCAAACAGGAUUAGAUACCCUGGUAGUCCACCGCCGUAAACGAUGGGUACUAGGUGUCGGGGGUAUCGAUCCCCUCGGUGCCGAAGUCAACGCAUUAAGUACCCCCGCCUGGGGAGUAUGGUCGCAAGGCUGAUACUCAAAGGAAUUGACGGGUCCCCGCACAAGCGGUGGAGCAUGUGGUUUAAUUCGACGCAACGCGAAGAACCUUACCUGGGCUUGACAUGCUUGGGACAGCGCUGGAAACAGCGUCUCUCCUUCGGGAGUCCUUGCACAGGUGCUGCAUGGCUGUCGUCGGCUCGUGUCGUGAGAUGUCGGGUUAAGUCCCUCAACGAGCGCAACCCUCGUUACUAGUUGCCAUCAGUUCGGCUGGGCACUCUAGUGAGACUGCCGCUGACAAACCGGAGGAAGGUGAGGAUGAUGUCAAGUCAUCAUGGCCCUUACGCCCAGGGCUACACACGUGCUACAAUGGUCGGCACAAAGGGCAGCCAAACCGCGAGGUGGAGCUAAUCCCAUAAAGCCGGCCCCAGUACGGAUUGGAGUCUGCAACUCGACUCCAUGAAGGCGGAAUCGCUAGUAAUCGCGGAUCA
RNAcentral lists this ribosomal RNA (1219 nucleotides) under uncultured organism. Its description in RNAcentral is "bacterial SSU rRNA". It matches the Rfam family "Bacterial small subunit ribosomal RNA", at positions 162 to 1351 of the family's 1533-position model. The record is from RNAcentral.